Molecule: ribosomal RNA, 253 nt
Filed under: uncultured bacterium
Lineage: Bacteria
Description: partial 16S ribosomal RNA
Rfam family: Bacterial small subunit ribosomal RNA
Source: RNAcentral
GACGUAGGGCGCGAGCGUUGUCCGGAUUUAUUGGGCGUAAAGAGCUCGUAGGCGGCUUGUCGCGUCGUCCGUGAAAACCCACAGCUCAACUGUGGGCUUGCGGUCGAUACGGGCAGGCUAGAGUUCGGUAGGGGAGACUGGAAUUCCUGGUGUAGCGGUGAAAUGCGCAGAUAUCAGGAGGAACACCGGUGGCGAAGGCGGGUCUCUGGGCCGAUACUGACGCUGAGGAGCGAAAGCGUGGGGAGCGAACAGG